UUGUCGGUAAAAUAGGUACUGCUCUAGACAUUUGUCUUGAACAAACUAUUGCAAUGUCAUGUGUAUGUGCUUACUUAGCUGUCAUUUUUCUAUGGAAUAUACUUCCAGGCCGAGGUUGGAUGUUAGUUCAGAACGUGGGUGGGAAUUACGUCUGCCUUGGACUCCAAGACCUGCCAGACCUUAAAUCACCAAACAACUAUAUGGAUUUCGUCAGGCAUCCUAGUACUCAAUUAAGUGAUUACAUAGAGGUCAACAAUAGGAAAGA
Long non-coding RNA from Pectinophora gossypiella (pink bollworm), 265 nucleotides. RefSeq lists it as uncharacterized. The transcript is spliced from 3 exons. The record is from RefSeq and is a predicted model, not a curated record. NCBI's taxonomy places the organism in Eukaryota, Metazoa, Arthropoda, Insecta, Lepidoptera, Gelechiidae.